AGGCCGGGCCCCGGCCUGAUGAGGGAACAAGCGGGGGAGCGGCUGACCGGAGGCCGUGUGGACGGGGACGCACGCUGGGUUCAGCGACCACUGGUUCCUUGAGCAGAACACCUCUCUCUACCUAAGAGCGUUCCUCCUGGAAGGCGAUGAGUUUCCAACGGCAGUGUCUUCAGACUCAUCUCAGCGGACCGCGCAGGUGGUGAUCAGAGGCCACAGAGACCCCGAAGAAUUUUAUGGCAUUCCAGACAGGACACAGGCCAGCUUGGAGGAGAAGCAGCAAUAAGACUUGGCAACACAGCGAGGGUGUGGAAGAGUUAUUUCCGAGGAGAGACAAUGGGCCUCAGCAGCAGCCUGGCGAGCCGCAGCCCACCAGAGCCCGACCAGCCUGGGAAGGAAGAGCCGCUCCCUCCCAGGGACGCCUGCAAGUCGGCGCAUCUGCUCUGUAUCAGCUCCCAGGAGCAUCGCCACACUCAAAGCCAGCUCUGGGCUCAUGGGU
Odocoileus virginianus texanus is the source of this 496-nucleotide non-coding RNA. The record is from RefSeq and is a predicted model, not a curated record. NCBI's taxonomy places the organism in Eukaryota, Metazoa, Chordata, Mammalia, Artiodactyla, Cervidae.